GACAGAGGCCUCGAGCGUUAGGCGGAAUCACUGGGCUUAAAGCGUGUGUAGGCGGAUCGUUAAGUACCUUGUGAAAUCCCACGGCUCAACCGUGGAACGGCUGGGUAUACUGGCGGUCUUGGGCCAUUCAGGGGCGACUGGAACAAGCGGUGGAGCGGUGAAAUGCGUAGAUAUCGCGUGGAACGCCGAAGGUGAAAACAGGUCGCUGGGGAUGUGCCGACGCUGAGACACGAAAGCCAGGGGAGCAAACGGG
This 253-nucleotide ribosomal RNA is filed under the name uncultured bacterium. RNAcentral's name for it is "partial 16S ribosomal RNA". It matches the Rfam family "Bacterial small subunit ribosomal RNA", at positions 524 to 776 of the family's 1533-position model. The record is from RNAcentral.